GAACGCCCGUAGCAAUACGGAGUGGCAGACGGGUGAGUAACGCGUGGGAACAUACCCCUCGGUUCGGAAUAACUCAGGGAAACUUGAGCUAAUACCGGAUACGUCCGAGGUUUUAAUCGACCUUGGAGAAAGAUUUAUCGCCGGAGGAUUGGCCCGCGUCUGAUUAGCUUGUUGGUGAGGUAAUGGCUCACCAAGGCGACGAUCAGUAGCUGGUCUGAGAGGAUGAUCAGCCACAUUGGGACUGAGACACGGCCCAAACUCCUACGGGAGGCAGCAGUGGGGAAUAUUGGACAAUGGGCGAAAGCCUGAUCCAGCCAUGCCGCGUGAGUGAUGAAGGCCUUAGGGUUGUAAAGCUCUUUUACCCGGGAAGAUAAUGACGGUACCGGGAGAAUAAGCCCCGGCUAACUUCGUGCCAGCAGCCGCGGUAAUACGAAGGGGGCUAGCGUUGUUCGGAAUUACUGGGCGUAAAGCGCACGUAGGCGGAUCCUUAAGUCAGGGGUGAAAUCCCGAGGCUCAACCUCGGAACUGCCUUUGAUACUGGGGAUAUCGAGUCCGGGAGAGGUGAGUGGAACUGCGAGUGUAGAGGUGAAAUUCGUAGAUAUUCGCAAGAACACCAGUGGCGAAGGCGGCUCACUGGCCCGGUACUGACGCUGAGGUGCGAAAGCGUGGGGA
This 672-nucleotide ribosomal RNA is filed under the name uncultured forest soil bacterium. Its description in RNAcentral is "bacterial SSU rRNA". It matches the Rfam family "Bacterial small subunit ribosomal RNA", at positions 64 to 767 of the family's 1533-position model. The record is from RNAcentral.